UUGUACACACCGCCCGUCACACCAUGGGAGUGGGUUGCAAAAGAAGUAGGUAGCUUAACCUUCGGGAGGGCGCUUACCACUUUGUGAUUCAUGACUGGGGUGAAGUCGUAACAAGGUAACCGUAGGGGGAACCUGCGGUUGGAUCACCUCCUUACCUUAAAGAA
This 164-nucleotide ribosomal RNA is filed under the name Klebsiella pneumoniae. RNAcentral describes it as "partial 16S ribosomal RNA". It matches the Rfam family "Bacterial small subunit ribosomal RNA", at positions 1381 to 1533 of the family's 1533-position model. The record is from RNAcentral. Lineage: Bacteria; Pseudomonadati; Pseudomonadota; Gammaproteobacteria; Enterobacterales; Enterobacteriaceae.